CGACACGAGAUAAACAAUAAUAUUGCCAUACCGUCGUAAAUGUAUACUUGUUUCCUCACAUGUGAACGUUUACUCGCAAGUCAAGUACACGCGUAUUUACAAACCGUAUCCAAACUUCGGUCCAAACUGCGGUAAAAGUAAAUAAAUGCGACCCGUCGUGAUUUUUCAUAUAGGAUUUAGGUUUACGCUUAGGACACUAAUUUCAUUGGAUCCUGUUUAAUAUAUAGUUAAUAUACGCUUCCCGUGUACCAAAAAAAAAAAAAA
Non-coding RNA from Cinara cedri, 264 nucleotides. NCBI's taxonomy places the organism in Eukaryota, Metazoa, Arthropoda, Insecta, Hemiptera, Aphididae. The record is from the annotation of a GenBank genome assembly.